This 1684-nucleotide small RNA is filed under the name Pongo abelii (Sumatran orangutan). RNAcentral's name for it is "retained intron". The record is from RNAcentral. Lineage: Eukaryota; Metazoa; Chordata; Mammalia; Primates; Hominidae.
AAAUUAUAGGUCCUGUUUAACAUUCAGCUCUGUUAACUCACUCUUAUCUUUUUGUGUUUUUACACUUUGUCAAGAUUUCUUUACAUAUUCAUCAAUGUCUGAAGAAAUUACUUAUGCAGAUCUUAAGUUCCAGAACUCCAAUGAGAUGGAAAAAAUCGAAGAAAUUGGCAAAUUUGGGGAAAAAGCACCUCCAUCUCGCUCUCGUGUAUGGCGUCCAGCAGCCUUGUUUCUGACUCUUCUGUGCCUUCUGAUGCUCAUUGGAUUGGGAGUCUUGGCAAGCAUGUGUAUGUACUGCUCCUGUUUUGGUCAAAAGAGAAAGUGUCUGGAAUUUCAAAUAUUUAACAACAAAAGUUUACUCCUUGAGUGGAAGAUUUAUAAUAAUGACAGGUGACAGGCCCACAAGGAGGACUUACAAUGUGGAACUUAGUCUCUUUCCCUCACUCCUGUAGAGUAAUUGCUUUUCCUACCCCUUUAAUCUUUAUACUACUUCUGCAAAUGAUAAAGGAUGAUGGCUCUAUUGAGAAUUUACAAUUUUUUGUCAUUUUUUUAAUGUGGAGUUCACAUAACUUUGAAGAUAGAAAUGAAAAAAAUGAACAAACUACAAAACAUCAAUGAAGAGCUCCAGAGAAACUUUUCUCUACAACUGAUGAGUAACAUGAAUAGCUCCAACAAGAUCAGGAACCUCUCCACCACACUGCAAACAAUAGCCACCAAAUUAUGUCGUGAGCUAUAUAGCAAAGAACAAGAGCACAAAUGUAAGCCUUGUCCAGGGAGAUGGAUUUGGCAUAAGGACAGCUGUUAUUUCCUAAGUGAUGAUGUCCAAACAUGGCAGGAGAGUAAAAUGGCCUGUGCUGCUCAGAAUGCCAGCCUGUUGAAGAUAAACAAUAAAAAUGCAUUGGAAUUUAUAAAAUCCCAGAGUAGAUCACGUGACUAUUGGCUGGGAUUAUCUCCUGAAAAUGGUUACACUCCUGAUAUGAGAGUGGAUAAUAUAAUCAACUCCUCUGCCUGCAGGUAAGUGACCCAGCUGCUGCUUCUAUAACCCAUAGUAGUGACUUGGACUGAGAGAAAAGGGAAUCUCAAGAAUAAGAGUUUCUAGUACUGCCUCCUGUUCUAAGUGUCCAGUGACUUACAUAUUUUCUGAGAUACCCGAGCCAUCCUCCCACUUCCAGACCUCAUUCGACUUCUGGCGAGAUAAUCCGACCCAACGAAUUAAACUAGUCCUGGCUUUGAUGUAUUCCUAUUGUAAACAUAAAUAAACACAAUGGUCAGAAUCCCUCCACAGCUCUUGGUAAUGAUAGACAAAGCUUCAUGGUAAGACACUGGACAAAAAAUGUUGGAUUACAUGUCUAUAUUAAUAUUAAUGGAUUACAUUUGAUGUUUGAAAUUGUACCAAUUUGACUUGUCUGAGAACUUAAAAAAAACUUAUAGGACACAGGUAAAAUUGUACACAAAAUAGCUGAUGUUCUAAUCCUCCUUUGUGUUUAUAACAUAUAUUUAGAUCUUCAAUCAGUUGAGGAUUAUACUCCCAAAUAGAAUACCAAAUAUGAUUCAAAGGAAUAAAUGUAAGCAGAGAAAGGAAACACAAAGAAAUACAUUGUUGAUGAGCUGUAUAUUCCUUAGAGUUAAAGCCCUACCUGCUUUGGUUAUUGCUCAGCUUGCCUAUAAAAUCUUACAUAUAGAAGUA